Molecule: microRNA precursor, 206 nt
Organism: Oryza rufipogon (brownbeard rice)
Lineage: Eukaryota; Viridiplantae; Streptophyta; Magnoliopsida; Poales; Poaceae
Rfam family: MIR812 microRNA precursor family
Source: Rfam
AAUAAGCGUAGUUAUGAGUUUCAAUGUCUAACUUUGACCAUCCGUCUUAUUUAAAACAUUUUUAUAAUUACUAUUUUUAUUGUUAUUAGAUGAUAAAAUAUGAAUAGUACUUUAUGCGUGAUUUAACUUCUAAAAUUUUUUCAUAAAUUUUUCAAAUAAGAUAGAUGGUCAAACGUUGGGUACAGAAACUUAUGGCUGCACUUAUA